UGGGGAAUUUUGGACAAUGGAGGCAACUCUGAUCCAGCCAUGCCGCGUGUCUGAAGAAGGCCUUCGGGUUGUAAAGGACUUUUGUCAGGGAGCAAAACCUGCCUGUAAAUAAUGAGUAGGAUUGAGAGUACCUGAAGAAUAAGCACCGGCUAACUACGUGCCAGCAGCCGCGGUAAUACGUAGGGUGCGAGCGUUAAUCGGAAUAACUGGGCGUAAAGCGUGCGCAGGCGGUUGGGCAAGUCUGAUGUGAAAGCCCCGGGCUUAACCUGGGAAUGGCAUUGGAGACUGCUCGGCUAGAGUGCGUCAGAGGGGGGUAGAAUUCCACGUGUAGCAGUGAAAUGCGUAGAGAUGUGGAGGAAUACCGAUGGCGAAGGCAGCCCCCUGGGAUGACACUGACGCUCAUGCACGAAAGCGUGGGGAGCAAACA
Molecule: ribosomal RNA, 427 nt
Filed under: uncultured Neisseriaceae bacterium
Lineage: Bacteria; Pseudomonadati; Pseudomonadota; Betaproteobacteria; Neisseriales; Neisseriaceae
Description: partial 16S ribosomal RNA
Rfam family: Bacterial small subunit ribosomal RNA
Source: RNAcentral